Molecule: non-coding RNA, 70 nt
Filed under: uncultured Marvinbryantia sp.
Lineage: Bacteria; Bacillati; Bacillota; Clostridia; Lachnospirales; Lachnospiraceae
Description: Glycine riboswitch
Rfam family: Glycine riboswitch aptamer
About the family: This family represents the bacterial glycine riboswitch. Glycine riboswitches usually consist of two metabolite-binding aptamers domains with similar structures in tandem.
Source: RNAcentral
GGAAUCGGGAGAGACCGUAUAUAAGCGGCGCCGAAGGGGAUGCAGAAACUCUCAGGCAAAAGGACCGGUU